Molecule: ribosomal RNA, 374 nt
Filed under: uncultured organism
Description: partial 16S ribosomal RNA
Rfam family: Bacterial small subunit ribosomal RNA
Source: RNAcentral
GUAGGUGGCAAGCGUUGUCCGGAAUUAUUGGGCGUAAAGCGCGCGCAGGCGGUUCUUUAUGUCUGAUGUGAAAGCCCACGGCUCAACCGUGGAGGGUCAUUGGAAACUGGAGAACUUGAGUACAGAAGAGGAAAGCGGAAUUCCACGUGUAGCGGUGAAAUGCGUAGAGAUGUGGAGGAACACCAGUGGCGAAGGCGGCUUUCUGGUCUGUAACUGACGCUGAGGCGCGAAAGCGUGGGGAGCAAACAGGAUUAGAUACCCUGGUAGUCCACGCCGUAAACGAUGAGUGCUAAGUGUUAGGGGGGUUUUCCGCCCCCCUUAGUGCUGCAGCUAACGCAUUAAGCACUCCGCCUGGGAGUACGGCCGCAAGGCUG